RNAcentral lists this long non-coding RNA (258 nucleotides) under Hordeum vulgare. RNAcentral's name for it is "long non-coding RNA (HVUL_LNC018810)". Lineage: Eukaryota; Viridiplantae; Streptophyta; Magnoliopsida; Poales; Poaceae. The record is from RNAcentral.
AUCACAGCUCAACAAAUUUGUGGAGAAUCAUUGAGCAAGGAUAUUAUCCCCAUGAUCCAAGCAACCUCACUCCGAGAGAAGAUGUAGACAAUCAAUACAAUCACUCUGCUUUGUUUAUUCUCCAGUCUGCAGUGCCACCUGAAGAUCUUCCUCACUUCCGUCCCUUCACCUUGGCCAAGGAUUGUUGGGAGCAUAUUAUGGUGUUGUACAAGGGAAGCUCAAGCAUUCAACGAUCCAACUAUGAAGUGAUACUUGAUA